This 439-nucleotide ribosomal RNA is filed under the name Anolis caceresae (Berta's anole). RNAcentral's name for it is "partial 16S ribosomal RNA". It matches the Rfam family "Bacterial large subunit ribosomal RNA", at positions 1951 to 2593 of the family's 2925-position model. Lineage: Eukaryota; Metazoa; Chordata; Lepidosauria; Squamata; Anolidae. The record is from RNAcentral.
CAAAGGUAGCGUAAUCACUUGUCUUAUAAAUAAAGACCCGUAUGAAUGGCUAAAUGAAUAUUUAACUGUCUCCUUCAACCAAUCAGUGAAACUGAUCUUUCAGUACAAAAGCUGAAAUGCAAUAAUAAGACGAGAAGACCCUGUGGAGCUUUAAAUUUACACCAAACUGUACAUAAAAUAGUUUAUGAGAAAAAAUUUUUAGUUGGGGCGACUUUGGAGUAAAAUACAACCUCCAAGAAAAGGCACCGCCUAAACAAGACCUACAAGCCAAAACUAAACGACCCAGUAUUUCUGAUUAACGAACCAAGUUACCCCAGGGAUAACAGCGCCAUCUUCUUCAAGAGUUCAUAUCGACAAGAAGGUUUACGACCUCGAUGUUGGAUCAGGACACCCAAAUGGUGCAGCCGCUAUUAAAGGUUCGUUUGUUCAACGAUUAACA